AAAAAGAGCUGCUCACAUGAGUUUUGAGAAGAGACGGUGGAGAAGACACACACACAUUCCUAAUUUCUUGCCUUGGCUGGAUAACACGGCUGCAAAAGCAACUUAAGACACCCAGACUUUCUCCACUGGCCCCUAUCUUUAAAGAUCACCCACUAUGAGAAGAAAACCAGAACCUUCCACUAAACUGCACAGAAGAUGGGACAGUGAAAACCAUGAGGCUGCUUGAAGAAUCUGCCAUGAUCCCAGUGUAUACAGUUUCAGAAACUACCAGUCCCUGCUCCAUUGGGGCCCACUACAAUGAUGCUGCCAGAGGUGGGAAAGCCCUGGUUGCCUGUCCCCGGGGGUAAGGUGAGCAGGGCAGUGGGAGGAAAGGCAGAGGUGGGAGCAGCAGGACACAGGAUUCCCCUCUGGCCCAUGAGUCCCUGGACUCCUCCUUAGGAAGAGAUGCUAGGUCUGCAGGGGUCUGAGAGCUGUCUCCGUCUGAAACCAAGCCAGGGCAGUCAGCAGCCCAAUUACCCAAGCUCCAUCUAAAUCAGCAUAUUCUAUUAGCUCUGGCCAUGGCUAUGGAAACAAGAAGUCAUUUUUGCAUUCAGAAAACAAAUCUAUGACCUAAAGGCUCUUGAAAGCUGGACGGUCAACUUUACACUGAACAUACAGAAAACCUCUUAUCUCAGCAACCUGCCAGGUAUCGUUUCAGACAUCCCACUACAAAGAAACUUCUCAGACAGUGAGAGAUGAGAAGAUGCGUACACAAUUCGUAGGCACUGUUACAGAAUGGUCAUCCUUGCUUUGAGGCUCACCCUCACAAACUCCUUGAGGGCAAUGUUUCACACAGUGAUCUGAAUUCAACAAAUGCUCGACAAAGUUGCCAGCAGUAAGUGUAUUUAAAGGGGAUUUUUGUUCACUUGACAUGCUCUUAAAAUCCUCUCUAUAGAAGAACUGUUUUAGAAGCCAAAAGGACUUAGUGAGCUACCCUUCGGGCUAAGUCACUGAUAGUGGAAGAGGCUGUGCUUCCACAUGCGCCCGGGGUUAAUCAGCACUAUCUCCUACCCCAGGUACAGAGCCGACUGUAUCCAACCUGAAGAGUGCUAAGAAGGAACUGUGCCUGCCACCAGCAGCAGACUUAGAUGCUGGGAAAGGGCUUAGAAACGAUGGCACAUCAUUUGCUGGACAAGGGAGCUCCCACGUCCCGAAUCUCAUGAGGCCUUCAGGAGGCCAGGCCCAUUUGCAGCUCCUGGUUCUCAUCAGUGGCCCUGCACCAGGGGUGGGGGUACAGGGGGGACUUUGAUCAGGGAAUAGGGUGCUGAGUGAGGCUGCACACAACUCAGAAACCUCCUUUAAGCCUGUGGAGAUGGGGUCUGCAGAGGGGAGGGAAGGCAUCAUCUCUGACUCAAUUUCAUUCCAGGGACGAGUGCAAUUUUAUGUCCCCACGAGCAGAACCCAGAGAAUCACUGGAAAAGCAGGGUGGGAAGUAGGAAGGCAUGUGGAUUCCCUGGGUUCCUGGGGAGUUCUGGGAGUACAUGCACAGAAGGCGGGCGUGGGGAGGCGGACUGCGUAAGGAACACAUUUCUGCUGUUUUUGAGCAGCACAGCUCUUUUUAAAAGAAUGGAUUGCUCCGUUGCGAUGGCUGUUACUCCGCUAUGUAAAAACACUCUUUACGGAUUGCCUGAAUUACAACAGGGUCUAUUCCUUUCGUCAAGCUGGCAAAGUAGCAACAGGGAGGGGAAGUAAGAAAGAUCAGGAAAACAACUUGGGAGGAAAACUUCAGCAAAAUUAUCCCUCCUCCCAUGUGUACCAUGUGGGGGAUUUUCUUUUGUAGGGUAGUGCUAGGCAGUUUAAAGCCAUUUGAACUUCCGUCUGCUGCUUCUGGGUUGCUAGAUUAAGUGCUGGCCGCAGCUCCCUAAUCUAAAAGCCAUAAGGACAGAGUUGCUGGAACUCUUACAGUUCCAACUCUAGCAAAUUAAUGGACUAAACACAGGAGUGGACUCUCUUUUUGAAUAUUAUACUCUAAAGAGUUGUUAUAAAAUAGGUUCAGACCUUUUUCCUGGCUUGGCAUUCCCUCUUUCAGAUCAUUUCCAUACACGUUUCAAACCUAGGAAACACUAGGCUGAUAUUUCUGCUGCUCGGUACAGACCAGCCUCACCCUAUGCUUCCGUUUUCCUUGACCCCAACUCCUGUCUAACUCUGGUCCUCCUGGGGCUUUCCCAGAGUUGAUCAAAAGUGCGACUCAGAACCCAGUCCAUCAUCCAGCCGAGUGAGCGGGCAGGCACAAGUGUAAGCUAUCCGGCUCAAGAGUGGUCCCCAUCCUGCCCUUGGGCACAC
Long non-coding RNA from Capra hircus (goat), 2322 nucleotides. RefSeq lists it as uncharacterized. The transcript is spliced from 3 exons. The record is from RefSeq and is a predicted model, not a curated record. NCBI's taxonomy places the organism in Eukaryota, Metazoa, Chordata, Mammalia, Artiodactyla, Bovidae.